CAUGACUUUGAAUCUUUGGGACAGUGGUAGAUAUUUUGACUCACCUAAGAAAGAAACAUGUACCUUGAAUGUGGAACCCUAAACGUGGGACUGUGGAGUAGGAUUUUCAGUCUAAUUAUGUUUACAUAAUUUAAGAUCUUGCAUCCUAUUUUAUACAUAUACACUAUGUACAAUAGUCCUCGAAUACAUUAUUUAGUAGAGAGAUCAUAAAUAUUUCUAUAAGAAGGGAGAAAAGGCACAGAUAUAAUUCAAUUUCUUUUUUAGGCACCAGAGAGAGAGAGAUCCUACGUUCUGUGCAAAACCUCUUACAGAUCACGCUGUGUAUUGAGUCCAGACGAAAAGCACAGGGAAAACCCCAACCUCGAGCGAGCCCCGUCUCACCUGAGGUCAGAACCUCUGAUGUUAGAGGGGCUGUUUUCGCAGCCAACAUGAACAUGGAGAAGGGACAAUUCAACCUUGUCUUCGCAGAGAAAAGUGCUUCUCCUGUAGGCUCAGUCUGUAAUGUUUGGGUGGGACUCUGGCACACAGCAUGGAGGUACCUCUGAAAACUAAAUAUAGAACUACCAUUUGACCCACUCCUCCGCAUGUAUCCAGACAAAACUUUCACUGAAGAAGAUACAUGCACCCCUGUGCUCAUUGCAGUGCUAUUCACAAUAGCCAAGACAUGGAAACGACCUAAAUGUCCAUCAACAGAUGAAUGGGUUAAGAAGAUGUGAUAUAUAUAUAUAUAUAUACACACACACACAAUGGAAUACUACUCAGCUAUAAAAAAGAACAAAGUAAUUUGCAGUGAUAUGGGUGGAACUAGAGACUCACAUACUAAGUGAAGUAAGUCAGAAAGAGGAAGACAAAUACCAUAUGACACCACUAAUAUCUGGAAGCUAAUAUACAGGUGGAAAUGAACCUAUCUAUGAAAAGAAACACACUCAUGGACUUGGAGAACAGAGUUGUGGUUGCCAAGGGGGAGGGGGAGAGAGUGGGGUGGACUGGGAUUUAGGGGUUAGUAGAUGCAAACUAUUGCCUUUGGAGUGGAUGAGCAAUGAGAUCCUGCUGUAUAGCACAGGGAACUAUAUCUAGUCACUUGUGAUGGAACAUGAUGGAGGAUAAUGGGAGAAAAAGAAUGUAUAUAUAUGUAUGACUGGGUCACUUUUCUGUACAGCAUAAAUUGACAGAACAUUGUAAAACAACUAUAAUAGAAAAAAAUAAAAAUCUUAUUUAAAAACA
RNAcentral lists this long non-coding RNA (1224 nucleotides) under Sus scrofa (pig). Its description in RNAcentral is "lncRNA (ENSSSCG00025039772.1)". The record is from RNAcentral. Lineage: Eukaryota; Metazoa; Chordata; Mammalia; Artiodactyla; Suidae.